Molecule: ribosomal RNA, 253 nt
Filed under: uncultured bacterium
Lineage: Bacteria
Description: partial 16S ribosomal RNA
Rfam family: Bacterial small subunit ribosomal RNA
Source: RNAcentral
UACGUAGGGCGCAAGCGUUGUCCGGAAUUAUUGGGCGUAAAGAGCUCGUAGGCGGUCUGUCGCGUCUGCUGUGAAAACUCAGGGCUUAACCCUGAGCUUGCAGUGGGUACGGGCAGACUAGAGUGCGGUAGGGGAGACUGGAAUUCCUGGUGUAGCGGUGAAAUGCGCAGAUAUCAGGAGGGACACCGGUGGCGAAGGCGGGUCUCUGGGCCGUAACUGACGCUGAGGAGCGAAAGCAUGGGGAGCGAACAGG